This 720-nucleotide ribosomal RNA is filed under the name Brevibacterium sp. 'Brevi. M1b'. Its description in RNAcentral is "bacterial SSU rRNA". It matches the Rfam family "Bacterial small subunit ribosomal RNA", at positions 41 to 771 of the family's 1533-position model. Lineage: Bacteria; Bacillati; Actinomycetota; Actinomycetes; Micrococcales; Brevibacteriaceae. The record is from RNAcentral.
UGCGUGCUUACACAUGCACGUCGAACGCUGAAGCCUGGUGCUUGCACCGGGUGGAUGAGUGGCGAACGGGUGAGUAACACGUGAGUAACCUGCCCCUGACUUCGGGAUAAGCCCGGGAAACUGGGUCUAAUACCGGAUACGACCGUCGGACGCAUGUCUGGUGGUGGAAAGUUUUUUCGGUUGGGGAUGGGCUCGCGGCCUAUCAGUUUGUUGGUGAGGUAAUGGCUCACCAAGACGACGACGGGUAGCCGGCCUGAGAGGGCGACCGGCCACACUGGGACUGAGACACGGCCCAGACUCCUACGGGAGGCAGCAGUGGGGAAUAUUGCACAAUGGGGGAAACCCUGAUGCAGCGACGCAGCGUGCGGGAUGACGGCCUUCGGGUUGUAAACCGCUUUCAGCAGGGAAGAAGCGCAAGUGACGGUACCUGCAGAAGAAGUACCGGCUAACUACGUGCCAGCAGCCGCGGUAAUACGUAGGGUACGAGCGUUGUCCGGAAUUAUUGGGCGUAAAGAGCUCGUAGGUGGUUGGUCACGUCUGCUGUGGAAACGCAACGCUUAACGUUGCGCGUGCAGUGGGUACGGGCUGACUAGAGUGCAGUAGGGGAGUCUGGAAUUCCUGGUGUAGCGGUGAAAUGCGCAGAUAUCAGGAGGAACACCGGUGGCGAAGGCGGGACUCUGGGCUGUAACUGACACUGAGGAGCGAAAGCAUGGGGAGCGA